AUGCAAGUCGAGCGCGCCCUUCGGGGUGAGCGGCGGACGGGUUAGUAACGCGUGGGAAUAUGCCCAAAGGUACGGAAUAGCCUCUGGAAACGGAGAGUAAUACCGUAUGUGCCCUUCGGGGGAAAGAUUUAUCGCCUUUGGAUUAGCCCGCGUUAGAUUGGGUAGUUGGUGGGGUAAUGGCCUACCAAGCCUACGAUCUAUAGCUGGUUUUAGAGGAUGAUCAGCAACACUGGGACUGAGACACGGCCCAGACUCCUACGGGAGGCAGCAGUGGGGAAUCUUGGACAAUGGGCGCAAGCCUGAUCCAGCCAUGCCGCGUGAGUGAUGAAGGCCUUAGGGUCGUAAAGCUCUUUCGCCAGGGAUGAUAAUGACAGUACCUGGUAAAGAAACCCCGGCUAACUCCGUGCCAGCAGCCGCGGUAAUACGGAGGGGGUUAGCGUGGUUCGGAAUUACUGGGCGUAAAGCGCGCGUAGGCGGAUCGGAAAGUUGGGGGUGAAAUCCCGGGGCUCAACCCCGGAACUGCCUCCAAAACUAUCGGUCUAGAGUUCGAGAGAGGUGAGUGGAA
RNAcentral lists this ribosomal RNA (565 nucleotides) under uncultured bacterium. RNAcentral describes it as "bacterial SSU rRNA". It matches the Rfam family "Bacterial small subunit ribosomal RNA", at positions 55 to 666 of the family's 1533-position model. The record is from RNAcentral.